UAGAUAUAUAUAUAUAUAUAUAUAGAGAGAGAGAGAGAGAGAGAGAGAGAGUUCUCACUUCUCAGCUUGUUCUAUAAAUUGAAGUAUCACCAUUAAUUAAUUCCUUCAUGUUUGGAGAUUGAGCUAAUCUUUUUAUCUAUAUUAUAUAUCUCAAUCUUGCAGCAGUUCUUCAAUUCCUCACUGGAGAUUCUCUGGAUCAAAGUAUGAUGUGCCAGAGCUUUUCUGAAGAGCAUAACAUGGGACAAUCUUCAAAAGUUCACUGUAAGAAGACAAUGAACAUGAUGGAUACCAGAUGUUCAGAUGCAUUCAAUACUGAUUAAGAUGGAAUGUGACUCAAAUUUUUGAGAUGAUCCGUGUGAAAUGAAGAGGUAAAAACAAAUUUGGAGACUACCAAAUGUUUCCUUUGAUUGGGUGACAUUUUUACUUGCAUUUUGAUUUGGAAGUGCUCGCUAGCUAGCUAGCUAACUUCAUGCAUUGAUCUUAGUGAAUAAAAAGUUCAUAUUGAGCUGGUUCAUCAAAUUGUUAUUCUUGUGAAAGUGCUUAAAUUCAUAACAGCACUAUUUUUAUGGUAAUGUUAAAGAGUAUAUUGCACCAAUUGUCUUAAUGAAUAGAUGUAUGCCGUACUGUGAUAUUAAAUAUGCUUACUUUAUCCUUUUAAGUAAAGUAAUUAUGUUCUCAGCUGGAAUCAUCUUAAGAAUACAAACAUCAAUUAGUCCUAGGACAUAUGUAUAGUGAUCUAAUUGAGUACUUGCUUGUAUAUUAGAGAGAGCAUUAAAUAAUAUAUACGAAAGGUACAUAUCUAGAGCUCUAGAUGAUUGUUGUGACUCUCUUUUUUCGUUAAUUAGUAGUAAUCAAGAUAUUGAGGGGAAUUCAUGUAUUUAUAUAUGUCCAUUAGAAGAUUAGAAGAUAGAAGAGCCAUUGAUGAAAAAAACAAAGCCCAUGUAAUUCAGUGUAUCUAGAUGUAGCAUCAUUAUAUAGAUAUACGUUAUUGAUAAGGACUCAAUAUUUACAUUUAUUAUUUGGAGAUUUUUUAGCAAUAUAUUCCAUUCACAUAAGAAAAGCAAAGGAUAUUCUAUCCUCAAUAGACCACCAAAUUAAUGAAGUAUUCUACUCUUCUUGUAUCUCAUAUAUAUAUAUAUAUAUAUAUAUAUAUAUCUGAUAGACAUCAUCUUGUCAAAUUCUUACCUUAUCAUGUACCUUAGAAUCUCAGUGAUCAUAUUCAAAUUAGAUUACUUUUAGUUUUGGAAUAGAAUAACUUUGUGAAUGAAGGUGUUCU
Long non-coding RNA from Dioscorea cayenensis subsp. rotundata (Guinea yam), 1276 nucleotides. RefSeq lists it as uncharacterized. The record is from RefSeq and is a predicted model, not a curated record. Lineage: Eukaryota; Viridiplantae; Streptophyta; Magnoliopsida; Dioscoreales; Dioscoreaceae. The transcript is spliced from 3 exons.